This 496-nucleotide ribosomal RNA is filed under the name uncultured bacterium. RNAcentral's name for it is "bacterial SSU rRNA". It matches the Rfam family "Bacterial small subunit ribosomal RNA", at positions 43 to 518 of the family's 1533-position model. The record is from RNAcentral.
CGUGCUUAACACAUGCAAGUCGAACGCGAAAGGGACUUCGGUCCUGAGUAAAGUGGCGCACGGGUGAGUAACGCGUAGAUAACCUGUCUUCAUGUCUGGAAUAAUACGCCGAAAGGGGUACUAAUACCGGAUAUUCUUGCUUUUCAUAAGUUAUGCAAGCAAAGGUGGCCUCUGCAUAUGCUACUGCAUGAAGAGGGGUCUGCGUACCAUUAGCUAGUAGGUGGGGUAAUGGCCUACCUAGGCGACGAUGGUUAGCGGGUCUGAGAGGAUGAUCCGCCACACUGGCACUGGAACACGGGCCAGACUCCUACGGGAGGCAGCAGUGAGGAAUAUUGCGCAAUGGGGGAAACCCUGACGCAGCGACGCCGCGUGAGUGAAGGAAGGCCUUCGGGUCGUAAAGCUCUGUCAAGAGGAAAGAAGUGUACAAUGGCUAAUACCUGUUGUAUUUGACGGUACCUCUAAAGGAAGCACCGGCUAACUCCGUGCCAGCCGCAGC